This 131-nucleotide transfer RNA is filed under the name Candidatus Woesearchaeota archaeon. Its description in RNAcentral is "tRNA-Val". It matches the Rfam family "tRNA". Rfam says of the family: Transfer RNA (tRNA) molecules are approximately 80 nucleotides in length. Their secondary structure includes four short double-helical elements and three loops (D, anti-codon, and T loops). Lineage: Archaea; Nanobdellati; Candidatus Woesearchaeota. The record is from RNAcentral.
GGGCCUGUGGUCUAGUGGCUAUGUCAGAAACUUUUUAAAAAAGUUUCAUCAAAAGUUAAUAAAAAACUAGAAAUGUAGUAAACACAACUCUCACUCAGUUGAGGUCCCAGGUUCAAAUCCUGGCAGGCCCA